CAACCCUCAAGCCCAGCUUGGUGUUGGGAGCUGUUUUAGUUAACACUCCCCAAAUUGAUUGGCGGUCACGUCGAGCUUCCAUAGCGUAGUAAUUUACACAUCGUUACUGGUAAUCGACGCGGCCACGCCGUUAAACCCCAACUUCUGAA
This 149-nucleotide unclassified non-coding RNA is filed under the name Fusarium armeniacum. RNAcentral's name for it is "partial internal transcribed spacer 2". Lineage: Eukaryota; Fungi; Ascomycota; Sordariomycetes; Hypocreales; Nectriaceae. The record is from RNAcentral.